UGUGUGUGUAGCUGAGCGCACAGGGACUUGAGCUCUCCCUAAACCUCACAGUAAAUCCCUUUAGCUGUGAGUUUACAUGGCUUGACUGAUCUCUGCGGGACGAUCCAGGAAAUGCAACAGGUGGAGGAGCAGAUAAUGAACUCUGUGCUGCCGUCUUGUUAGCGUCCCAGGCUAGCUGCUGUGUAGCCUACUUGAAGGUGCCUGUGGACGUCGGGACAAACUGCGCACUGUUGUAAAAAGGUCAGGUGGAAAUAGCACCAUGGAUGACAACAGCUUAAACGUGAAAGUCGCUGUCCGUGUGCGACCAAUGAACAGAAGAGAAAAAGACUUGAAGACGAAAUGUGUGGUGGAGAUGGAGGGGAAUCAGACAGUUCUGCAUCCAGCUGUCGCUAAUAUGAACAAAGGAGACCCCAGGUACGCUGCAAAGAAGUUU
Labrus bergylta (ballan wrasse) is the source of this 433-nucleotide non-coding RNA. The record is from RefSeq and is a predicted model, not a curated record. Lineage: Eukaryota; Metazoa; Chordata; Actinopteri; Labriformes; Labridae.